Long non-coding RNA from Brachypodium distachyon (stiff brome), 841 nucleotides. RefSeq lists it as uncharacterized. The transcript has 2 exons. The record is from RefSeq and is a predicted model, not a curated record. Lineage: Eukaryota; Viridiplantae; Streptophyta; Magnoliopsida; Poales; Poaceae.
CAUCGUGAUCUCGGAGGUGGGAUGGGAUUCACUGGUGCCCGCUUCAGGCUGUUGUGGAGCUCAGGAUCCGGCCCCGAUAUUUUAUCGCUUCAAUCAUCAAUAUUGGUCGAUAUUUGCUUUCAAAGAUGUUUUAUGCUCUUGCGCUGCUCGCUUGUGAGUUGGAUCGAGAGUCCCAGAGACUCGAGUGUGCACCACAUGCUGCUAUGGUAUCAGGGAAUGUGUGGUUCACGUCAGGUGUUUUCCAGACUCAAGCCAUGCAACUCUGAAGUUCAGCGGGUGUUUGGUUCACUGCCGUAAUCGUGACGCGCCGCAGUUUCUGAACUCUACUUGCUCACAUGUAUGUCGUGCGGUAUUGCAGUUUUUUUUUUCAUCUUUAGCAAAUCGUCUUUGCAGUCGUGACUUGUGACUGAAGAUUGUCUCGCCAAUAAAAAGAAGUUGGCGUCCAGCAAAAAGGAACAGGAGCACGGACCAGGCAACCAAAUGUUCAGAGAAGCCCAGAACAGUCGAAUUCUUCCUGCUGCUAAAUUAAUCAUGUGAACCAGUCCAGAGAUGCAGGAUCCGCUAGCCUUCAGUUAAGUCCAACGACAGAUUGAUUGUCCACGCAUCAUGUCAACGACGCCUGGAAGCUCUUCCAUGUCUAUCCAGGAAUUAGUCUUUGUAUCCUUCUUCACAGAUAGAUACCAGAUGGGCAUUAUGGCUUCUCAGCCUUCACUUCUUUUUGUGUGUAUAGUCUUUAAGGUCUUUGCAUACAUACAUGCUCAUAUAAGCAUAUGAAUGAUGCCACCGCCAGUGUAAUUUGUGGUGAGCAUUAACCGAUGGACGGGAGAGAGGUUUGAUUGAA